AAAAAAUAAUGACAUGGCUAGUUAAAGCCCCUAAAGGAUUGCUCAGUGAUAAAAGAGUGUAGGAGUGCAGAAAUAGCCAAAAGGUUUACCUAGUUACAGCCACCCUUGAAAGAGUGUGUAAUAGCUCACGAUCGAGUGCUCUUGCUCUGAAGAUGAAAGGGGCUAAGCGAUAUACUGAAAUUGUUAGAUGUAAAAAUAAAUCGGUAGAGGAGCGUUCUACCUUAGAAGGAAGCUCCGCGCGAGCACUGAUGGGACGAAGCGGAAGGGAGAAUGCCGACUUGAGUAACGCAAACAUUGGUGAAAAUCCAAUGCCCUGAAAACCAAAGGGUUCAUCCGCAAAGUUCGUCCAUGAAGGGUAAGUUGUAAGAUUAAGGUGAAAGGUGUGGUCGAUGGACAACAGAUGAAUAUUCAUGUACUACCCCUUAUUGGUCCCGAGGGACGGAGGAUGCUAGGUUAGCCGAAAGCUGGUUAUCGGUUCAAGAACGUAAGGUGCCCUUGCUUUUUUAGGGUAAGAAGAGGUGGAAAAAAUGCCUCGAGUCCUAAUAGAAACCAAAGAUC
Molecule: long non-coding RNA, 558 nt
Filed under: Olea europaea subsp. europaea
Lineage: Eukaryota; Viridiplantae; Streptophyta; Magnoliopsida; Lamiales; Oleaceae
Rfam family: Bacterial large subunit ribosomal RNA
Source: RNAcentral